RNAcentral lists this long non-coding RNA (1160 nucleotides) under Malus domestica (apple). RNAcentral describes it as "long non-coding RNA (MDOM_LNC001278)". Lineage: Eukaryota; Viridiplantae; Streptophyta; Magnoliopsida; Rosales; Rosaceae. The record is from RNAcentral.
UAGAUCGAAGAAUUACAAGUCUCUGUGUAACUGCUGCAAAUUAAGAAGAUUGUCGAAAAUGCACCAACCUCCAGGCCCUCCGCCACCGCAUGACCACGGACCACCGCACCACGGGCCACCUCACGAUGGUCCGCCACCACCUGGCGGCCCUCCAGGUCCCGGCCCUCACGGCCAUGGACCUCCAGGCGGUCCAGGUCCCCAUGGACCUCCAGGCGGUCCGGGAGGACCAGGGCAUCACGGCCACGGGUGUGGAGGUGGACCGGGUGGUCGCUGCUAAGUGCUAACUAAUGAUCUUGACCAAGAACUUUCUGGUGUACUACUUGUGGUUUAAUAUGUGCUAAUCAUGUUUUCUAGUUUAUUAGUUUACUAAUCAUGUUCAAGAUCACCACCAGACUAGCUCAGCUCAGCUGGAGAGGAUCAUGUAUCUGUCCGUAAUGGUACUAUGUUGAAUAUGCUGCGUAUUAUGAUAUCAAUAAAAUGCAUCUCCAUAUUAUAAUUAUACAUCUUUGAUCAUUCUUAAUUAAUUGAUUGGAUUAUAUUGAUAGGUAAAAAUUACUAGAAACAAUUUUGACGCGCUAAGAAUAUCCGCUCGUAUUUGAGGAGAGAAAUUUACACGCAAUCAAUAAUAAGAAGAUGGUUUUUUAAUCCUAAGAUGCGUCAUUAUAUAUUUUAACUUACUCACGUAACAUUGCGUAAAUGGUUUGAUAUAACGUCAAUUUCGCAGCUUAGUGGCAUGACAUGUAAGUUCUUUUCAUAUUACUCAAAGUUCAACUCCAAUUUCGGUUUCGAACCGCUUCUAUAGAAAGCUUUUUUUUUUUUUAAAUUUUAUUUGAACAAACCUUAUUAUCUAUAAUAAAGGGUAGGAGAAUGAGUUAAGUCUCACAAUCGACUAGCAAUAAUGUGGUUCAAAUUCGCAUUUGAUGAGAAUCGAACCUAAGAUCUCUAUUUACAAGUAAAGAAUAACACCACUAAACUGUAAUAUUAAGUGAUUGCUUCUAUUGAAAGCAUUAACCUUUAACAAACACUUAUACGAUCCAUAAACACUUUUAAGUUUUUAUGACCAACCAAAUUGGUUUCGCAUAAAUAGCCAUUCGGGCGCCCUAAUUUUAAUAUUUUUUAAUUAACAAGAAAAAAAAAAGUUAUGUACAUUCAUAGCUAUU